UAGAUUGAAGCCAGUUGAUUAGGGUAUUUAGCUGUUAACUAAAAAUUCGCGGGAUUAUAGCCCGUCAAUCUAG
Molecule: transfer RNA, 73 nt
Filed under: Condylura cristata (star-nosed mole)
Lineage: Eukaryota; Metazoa; Chordata; Mammalia; Eulipotyphla; Talpidae
Description: tRNA-Asn
Rfam family: tRNA
About the family: Transfer RNA (tRNA) molecules are approximately 80 nucleotides in length.
Source: RNAcentral